This 497-nucleotide ribosomal RNA is filed under the name uncultured bacterium. Its description in RNAcentral is "partial 16S ribosomal RNA". It matches the Rfam family "Bacterial small subunit ribosomal RNA", at positions 28 to 507 of the family's 1533-position model. The record is from RNAcentral.
GAUGAACGCUGGCGGCGUGCCUAAUACAUGCAAGUCGAGCGAACAGACGAGGAGCUUGCUCCUCUGACGUUAGCGGCGGACGGGUGAGUAACACGUGGAUAACCUACCUAUAAGACUGGGAUAACUUCGGGAAACCGGAGCUAAUACCGGAUAAUAUUUUGAAUCGCAUGGUUCAAAAGUGAAAGACGGUCUUGCUGUCCCUUAUAGAUGGAUCCGCGCCGAAUUAGCUAGUUGGUAAGGUAACGGCUUACCAAGGCAACGAUGCGUAGCCGACCUGAGAGGGUGAUCGGCCACACUGGAACUGAGACACGGUCCAGACUCCUACGGGAGGCAGCAGUAGGGAAUCUUCCGCAAUGGGCGAAAGCCUGACGGAGCAACGCCGCGUGAGUGAAGAAGGUCUUCGGAUCGUAAAACUCUGUUAUUAGGGAAGAACAAAUGUGUAAGUAACUAUGCACGUCUUGACGGUACCUAAUCAGAAAGCCACGGCUAACUACGUG